This 475-nucleotide ribosomal RNA is filed under the name uncultured bacterium. Its description in RNAcentral is "partial 16S ribosomal RNA". It matches the Rfam family "Bacterial small subunit ribosomal RNA", at positions 8 to 526 of the family's 1533-position model. The record is from RNAcentral.
AGAGUUUGAUCAUGGCUCAGGAUGAACGCUGGCGGUAUGCUUAACACAUGCAAGUCGAACGGGGCUUUUCGGAGCCUAGUGGCGGACGGGUGAGUAACGCGUGAGAAUCUAGCAUGAGGUCGGGGACAACCACUGGAAACGGUGGCUAAUACCGGAUAAACCGAGAGGGGAAAGAUUAAUUGCCUGAUGAAGAGCUCGCGACUGAUUAGCUAGUUGGUGGGGUAAGAGCCUACCAAGGCGACGAUCAGUAGCUGGUCUGAGAGGACGAUCAGCCACACUGGGACUGAGACACGGCCCAGACUCCUACGGGAGGCAGCAGUGGGGAAUAUUCCGCAAUGGGCGCAAGCCUGACGGAGCAAUACCGCGUGCGGGAGGAAGGCCCUUGGGUUGUAAACCGCUUUUCUCAGGGAAGAAGAUCUGACGGUACCUGAGGAAUCAGCAUCGGCUAACUCCGUGCCAGCAGCCGCGGUAAUAC